Molecule: ribosomal RNA, 521 nt
Filed under: uncultured Acidobacteriota bacterium
Lineage: Bacteria; Pseudomonadati; Acidobacteriota
Description: bacterial SSU rRNA
Rfam family: Bacterial small subunit ribosomal RNA
Source: RNAcentral
CGAUCCAGCAACGCCGCGUGGAGGAUGAAGGUCUUCGGAUUGUAAACUCCUGUUAGAGGGGACGAAGGAACGCCGGUGAAUAUCCGGCGGACUUGACGGUACCCUCAGAGGAAGCCCCGGCUAACUCUGUGCCAGCAGCCGCGGUAAUACAGAGGGGGCGAGCGUUAUUCGGAAUUAUUGGGCGUAAAGGGCGCGUAGGCGGCCUUGUAAGUCUUGGGUGAAAUCCCUCAGCUCAACUGAGGAACUGCCUCGGAUACUGCAGGGCUUGAGGCCGGGAGAGGGUAGUGGAAUUCCCAGUGUAGCGGUGAAAUGCGUAGAUAUUGGGAGGAACACCGGUGGCGAAGGCGGCUACCUGGACCGGUUCUGACGCUGAUGCGCGAAAGCGUGGGGAGCAAACAGGAUUAGAUACCCUGGUAGUCCACGCUGUAAACGAUGGGUGCUCGGUGUCGCGGGUAUCGACCCCUGCGGUGCCUUAGCUAACGCGUUAAGCACCCCGCCUGGGGAGUACGGUCGCAAGGCUG